GGAUAUAAUUUAGUGGUAGAAUGCUUGCCUGACAUGUGCAAGGUCUGGAGUUCAAUCCCCAGUACCA
Molecule: transfer RNA, 67 nt
Filed under: Marmota monax (woodchuck)
Lineage: Eukaryota; Metazoa; Chordata; Mammalia; Rodentia; Sciuridae
Description: tRNA.Val
Source: RNAcentral